AACGAACGCUGGCGGCAUGCCUAACACAUGCAAGUCGAACGAGAUCUUCGGGUCUAGUGGCGCACGGGUGCGUAACGCGUGGGAAUCUGCCCUGUGGUUCGGAAUAACAGUUGGAAACGACUGCUAAUACCGGAUGAUGACGAAAGUCCAAAGAUUUAUCGCCAGAGGAUGAGCCCGCGUAGGAUUAGCUAGUUGGUGUGGUAAAGGCGCACCAAGGCGACGAUCCUUAGCUGGUCUGAGAGGAUGAUCAGCCACACUGGGACUGAGACACGGCCCAGACUCAUACGGGAGGCAGCAGUGGGGAGUAUUGGACAAUGGGCGAAAGCCUGAUCCAGCAAUGCCGCGUGAGUGAUGAAGGCCUUAGGGUUGUAAAGCUCUUUUACCCGGGAUGAUAAUGACAGUACCGGGAGAAUAAGCUCCGGCUAACUCCGUGCCAGCCGCCGCCGUAA
RNAcentral lists this ribosomal RNA (449 nucleotides) under uncultured bacterium. RNAcentral's name for it is "partial 16S ribosomal RNA". It matches the Rfam family "Bacterial small subunit ribosomal RNA", at positions 29 to 523 of the family's 1533-position model. The record is from RNAcentral.